GAAAAAUAUGCAUUUUAAAAUAGCAGUGCUGCCAUUUUAGAAUUAUUGUUUAAUGUCACUUAAUUUCUUGAACGCAGGGGUAAAGCUUUUUUAGUGGUCCAUACUUGAAGGCCAUACAAGGUGGACUGUGAGAAGCAAAGCCACACAAUGUGUGCAAAGGAGCGAUGGACGCUUGGGUCAAGGAGGGACACAGAAUCACACAGACCUUGCCAUUCCCUCAGUAUCUCUUUUUUCUGGCCAAGCACAGCAGUCUACAGUGAUGGCUGGGGGGGCCUAAGAACGCUCACUGUUUCCAAAUCCCUUAAAUAUUUCACUCCUCUGACAGAGCUGAACACUGACUCCUCUGUUUGCCUUCUUUGUGCUGUGCAUUUGCACCUGUUCCAGCUCUAAGUCCUGAUCUGCUCCUCUGUUCCUUCUCACUGCAGUGCCUUCCACCCCCUUUUUUUUUUUUUUUUUAAGAAAAAUCCUCGCCAGGCCAGCAUUAUGCUAAUUUCCCCCACAAUAGUUUAGGUGAAGAAAACAUAUUGCAUGCUAUCUUAACAAUGACUUCUCUCUCUCGGUCUCACUUCCAUGCUAAUGUACCCUGUGGCUAACGGCAACC
Long non-coding RNA from Sinocyclocheilus anshuiensis, 601 nucleotides. RefSeq lists it as uncharacterized. NCBI's taxonomy places the organism in Eukaryota, Metazoa, Chordata, Actinopteri, Cypriniformes, Cyprinidae. The record is from RefSeq and is a predicted model, not a curated record. The transcript is spliced from 3 exons.